RNAcentral lists this microRNA precursor (84 nucleotides) under Mandrillus leucophaeus (drill). Its description in RNAcentral is "microRNA 501 (ENSMLEG00000023110.1)". It matches the Rfam family "mir-500 microRNA precursor family". The record is from Rfam by way of RNAcentral. Lineage: Eukaryota; Metazoa; Chordata; Mammalia; Primates; Cercopithecidae.
GCUCUUCCUCUCUAAUCCUUUGUCCCUGGGUGAGAGUGCUUUCUGAAUGCAAUGCACGCAGGCAAGGAUUCUGAGAGGGUGAGC